This is a long non-coding RNA of Meriones unguiculatus (Mongolian gerbil), 798 nucleotides long. RefSeq lists it as uncharacterized. The record is from RefSeq and is a predicted model, not a curated record. Lineage: Eukaryota; Metazoa; Chordata; Mammalia; Rodentia; Muridae. The transcript has 4 exons.
CUCAGAGCUCUCCUACUGAAAUACGGCCUUCUGAAGUGAGCAGAUUUAUCAGUACUCCCCAUGAAUGCCAGAGAGGCUCAAGCAUUCAAGAGUCUGGGAUUAGUAGGACUUUGCAAGGGAGAAGCAGAUGGAUAAAGAAUUCCAAGGCUACCCAGAGGCUAUUUAAGCUGUGGGCUGGCUUUCCCCAGGGUCUGAGGAUUGUUCAAGGUUCCUGAAUAAACUGCAUUGAAAAAAAAAAAAAAAACAAGAAAAAAAAAAAGAAUUCCAAGGACAAAGGAGGGAAUGGAGAAACACACAGAGAAGAUUGUGUGAUGGUGGUUCCUCAGAACACUGCAAGCUUAAAUAUUCUGGUUCCUACUGCUCUUGCAGGGUUGAGGAGGCUCACAUCUAUGAUAUUCUUGCAUCACCCACCAUCCACAGUCUUCAGCUACAGAGUAUUAUCAGGGACUUAAUAGUCAUCUGAGGUUUAAUGACUCUACUGUGCGUCUUGGACCAUCAACUCCUCCCGGACUCUCAUUAAUCCCAGGGGCAAUGGCUUAGACUGUGAUCAUUAUUGCUUUAACAAACACUUCUAGUAGAUGAGAGUAACUCUCCAUUUAUCUUCCAUGGAAAUUCAUUCUGCUGGACUGACACUGUCAGCUGAAGAUGCAAGCUUUUGUCUUGAAGUUUAAAAGAAUGGAAAUGCAAGUCCUGACCUAGAAGCUACCCCAGAACCUCACUGAGUCCAUUUCUUCUCUGCUGUCAAAGAUGGAGUGAAAUUCCAUGCUGAGAAACGUGCAUGGAAUUCUGCAGAUGGUG